This 382-nucleotide ribosomal RNA is filed under the name uncultured eukaryote. Its description in RNAcentral is "partial 18S ribosomal RNA". It matches the Rfam family "Eukaryotic small subunit ribosomal RNA", at positions 592 to 976 of the family's 1831-position model. The record is from RNAcentral.
UGUAAGCGUAUAACAAAGUUGUUGCAGUUAAAACGCUCGUAGUCGGAAUUUGGCAGUUCCGGAAGUGUGCACGUCGUGUGCGCACUUUGCGGGGACUGCUUUUGUGGUCUUGCGUAGGAUGAGGCACUUUCAUUAGUGAACGUCCUCACGCAACCACUCUUUACUGUGAGAAAAUCAGAGUGCUCAAAGCAGGCAUUUGCCGUGAAUGUAUUAGCAUGGAAUAAUAGAAUAGGACUCGGUUCUAUUUUGUUGGUUUGUUGGGACUGAGUAAUGAUUAAGAGGGACAGUUGGGGGCAUUUGUAUUCCGGCGCUAGAGGUGAAAUUCUUAGAUUGCCGGAAGACAAACUGCUGCGAAAGCGUCUGCCAAGGAUGUUUUCAUUGA